UCGGGAAUUUUGGGCAAUGGGGGAAACCCUGACCCAGCAACGCCGCGUGAAGGAUGAAGUAUUUCGGUAUGUAAACUUCGAAAGAAUAGGAAGAAUUAAUGACGGUACUAUUUAUAAGGUCCGGCUAACUACGUGCCAGCAGCCGCGGUAAUACGUAGGGACCAAGCGUUGUUCGGAUUUACUGGGCGUAAAGGGCGCGUAGGCGGCGCGGUAAGUCACUUGUGAAAUCUCUGAGCUUAACUCAGAACGGCCAAGUGAUACUGCAGUGCUAGAGUGUGGAAGGGGCAAUCGGAAUUCUUGGUGUAGCGGUGAAAUGCGUAGAUAUCAAGAGGAACACCUGAGGUGAAGACGGGUUGCUGGGCCAACACUGACGCUGAGGCGCGAAAGCCAGGGGGAGCAAACGGGAUUAGAUACCCCGGUAGUCCUGGCCCUAAACGAUGAAUACUUGGUGUCUGGAGUUUUAAUGCUCCGGGUGCCGCCGCUAACGUUUUUAGUAUUCCGCCUGGGGAGUACGCUCGCAAGA
This 523-nucleotide ribosomal RNA is filed under the name uncultured Acidobacteriota bacterium. RNAcentral describes it as "bacterial SSU rRNA". It matches the Rfam family "Bacterial small subunit ribosomal RNA", at positions 355 to 893 of the family's 1533-position model. Lineage: Bacteria; Pseudomonadati; Acidobacteriota. The record is from RNAcentral.